GUGUGGAGGAAAGGGCUGUGGGGGCCAUGCCCGAGCCCACCGCGGCCUGCCACAGGCCCAGAGAUGCCCCUGUCUGUGGGGAGAGCCCUCCUCCUCCGGAGCUCUGCGACAGCACCGCCUGCUCCGGAGCCGCAGGCUGCCUCCCUGGCCCAGAGGAAGGGAAACUUUAUUUUCUGCAGCACCUGUAAGUACUGCUCUGCCCAGAGAUAAUUCUUUAUAGCCUAUCUCUGCCAUUCCCAUGUCCAUGUAACAAAGGCAAACGGGAUUGAUGUAUUCCAUUGGAACAGGGCUAGAGUGAGCACCUUUGAUCUCACACUCACUAGGAAGGAGUAACGUAAUAGGUUUGGCUUCCUCCACUCCUCACGCGCAGGAAAUCACAUCAAAGCUGCCCCGGUAAUUUAAAACAGUCUGUUAACUUUGCUGAGUCAUAAAUGGAAACACCAGCACUAAUUCCCCACUAUUCUCCACAACACGUUCUGCAGGAGGGGCAGUUUGGGAAAGAGCUUAACUUUAAACUGAAUGGAGUUGAAAAGCUACCACAAGGAAUGUGCCUGGCUCCCCUUGCCUUCCCUCUCCUCCCCAACAUCCCCCCAGCAGCAAGCCAACUUUUCUGCAAAUAAAAUGUUGGCAUUUCAUCAGUAAAAUGAGUUUUUUCUUUUCUCACACCAUCACAGAAGUGUAACAAAGGGGAAGAGAAAAUGAAAUAUUCACUAGGUGCCUGCAGUGAACUAAAAAUAAAAAUUACCUUUCCCUCUCUUCUCCUUCUAAAAAACAAGAGCAAAUAGACACGCUUAGUCCCUAGGAAAAGGAAGACCCAGAUACAGCAAAAUUGUCGGGAUAUAUUAACUGGAAAUCAAAACCUGAAGCAACUUGCUGUGACGCCUGUAGAACAGUAUUUUUGCUGAGUCUUGAGAAAGAAAUCUAUACUGUCACCACCAGGCAAAAAAUUAGACAGUUCCCUCCCCUGCUCCACUAGCAAGGCUUGAGGCUACUCUUGCAUAAUCUUCACCUGCUGCAAAAAUCAAUGCACCUCUCAUCAGCUUAGUAUUAAAUUACAAGUGCUUUCUGCAUUGCUCACUCUCAGGGACCAAGGAUAGAUCACAUUGUUUAUCCAUCAAAACAGUCUAAAAGCAUUUUCAGCCCAUCCAUUUCUGGGAAGAAAAGAAAAAAAAAGGCAAAAGGGAAGACAACCCACCUGACAGAUCCUCCCCAUUUCAACCUUCAACAAAAAAUUGUAGAAUCUUACAAUGGUUUGGGAUUGAAUGGGUCUUAAAAUCAUCCAGGCAGGGACACUUUCCACUAGAUCAUCAAAUGAGUUGUAAACAUCCCAAUGGGUCACUUUUAUCACCUGAUAUCUUGGUGAUACAAAGUAAUACUUAUCUAAAUAAGUAUUUAUCCAAAUCAGUAUUUACACACUACAUAGCAACAGUCAGUUCCUAAUUAGCUGAGCUAAUUACUCAGCAGUGGCACAUGCCUCUGAGGAGGGAACUGCCCAAGGAUACAAUGCAGGCAGGUCUCUUCUCCCAUCCUGCUGAGCCACUCUCCACCCUCAGCAACACCAAAGCUUGUUCUGUAGGCCAGGAGGAAGGUUUGUGUAAACCAGGUGCCACUUACUACACGGAGCAGUGGUGAGGGCUGCCCUCCUUUGAAGGGAACCCUCUCUGCCUCAGUGCCCUCUGGUCACCACAGGGCUCUGGGGCUUCACCUAAAUUUCCUAUUGCUGGGUGCUGCGGCCACUUGAAAGACUUGCUGUGGUGGAAAUUUGUAUUUUCACUGUGAAGAGCUUUUUCUCCAGGUGGGAGAAGCAGACACUAAACAAACCUCCCAGCUUUGUGGGACAGCCACACCAGGUAGGAAUUAUUUGCAGAUAGAGAAGGAAGAACAAGAAGAGGAAGAAGUGUCUCAACAGUAUUUUUUCUGACGGGUAUUACCUAGUGAAAUAGGAAGCUUCAUAUCAAAAUAAAUAAAAAUGUUAAAUGUU
Molecule: long non-coding RNA, 1981 nt
Organism: Passer domesticus (house sparrow)
Lineage: Eukaryota; Metazoa; Chordata; Aves; Passeriformes; Passeridae
Exons: 2
Source: RefSeq, a predicted model, not a curated record